Molecule: ribosomal RNA, 254 nt
Filed under: uncultured bacterium
Lineage: Bacteria
Description: partial 16S ribosomal RNA
Rfam family: Bacterial small subunit ribosomal RNA
Source: RNAcentral
UACGUAGGGUGCGAGCGUUAAUCGGAAUAACUGGGCGUAAAGCGUGCGCAGGCGGUCUGUUAAGACCGAUGUGAAAUCCCCGGGCUUAACCUGGGAACUGCAUUGGUGACUGGCAGGCUUUGAGUGUGGCAGAGGGAGGUAGAAUUCCACGUGUAGCAGUGAAAUGCGUAGAGAUGUGGAGGAAUACCGAUGGCGAAGGCAGCCUCCUGGGCCAACACUGACGCUCAUGCACGAAAGCGUGGGGAGCAAACAGG